Molecule: ribosomal RNA, 447 nt
Filed under: uncultured bacterium
Lineage: Bacteria
Description: bacterial SSU rRNA
Rfam family: Bacterial small subunit ribosomal RNA
Source: RNAcentral
UGGGGAAUCUUGGACAAUGGGCGCAAGCCUGAUCCAGCCAUGCCGCGUGAGUGAAGAAGGCCUUCGGGUUGUAAAGCUCUUUUGUCAGGGACGAUAAUGACGGUACCUGAAGAAUAAGCCCCGGCAAACUUCGUGCCAGCAGCCGCGGUAAUACGAAGGGGGCUAGCGUUGUUCGGAAUUACUGGGCGUAAAGCGCACGUAGGCUGAUUGUUAAGUCAGGGGUGAAAUCCCAGAGCUCAACUCUGGAACUGCCCUUGAUACUGGCAAUCUAGAGUCCGGAAGAGGUUAGUGGAAUUCCCAGUGUAGAGGUGAAAUUCGUAGAUAUUGGGAAGAACACCAGUGGCGAAGGCGGCUAACUGGUCCGGUACUGACGCUGAGGCGCGAGAGCAAGGGGAGCAAACAGGAUUAGAUACCCCGGUAGUCCCUGAGCGGGCUGGCAAGGCGCAU